This 440-nucleotide ribosomal RNA is filed under the name uncultured bacterium. Its description in RNAcentral is "partial 16S ribosomal RNA". It matches the Rfam family "Bacterial small subunit ribosomal RNA", at positions 338 to 795 of the family's 1533-position model. The record is from RNAcentral.
CCUACGGGUGGCAGCAGUGGGGAAUAUUGCCCAAUGGGGGAAACCCUGAUGCAGCGACGCCGCGUGAGCGAUGAAGUAUUUCGGUAUGUAAAGCUCUAUCAGCAGGGAAGAAAAUGACGGUACCUGACUAAGAAGCCCCGGCUAACUACGUGCCAGCAGCCGCGGUAAUACGGAGGGGGCCAGCGUUAUCCGGAUUUACUGGGUGUAAAGGGGGCGUAGACGGUUCUGCAAGCCCGACGUGAAAGCCUGGGGCUCAACCCCGGGACUGCAUUUGAAACUGUAAGGCUAGAGUGGCGGAGAGGCAGGCGGAAUUCCUAGUGUAGCGGUGAAAUGCGUAGAUAUUAGGCGGAACACCAGUGGCGAAGGCGGCCUGCUGGACGAAGACUGACGUUGAGGCUCGAAAGCGUGGGGAGCAAACAGGAUUAGAUACCCGAGUAGUC